CCUACGGGAGGCUGCAGUGAGGAAUAUUGGUCAAUGGUCGGGAGCCUGAACCAGCCAAGCCGCGUGAGGGAUGACGGUCCUGCGUAUCGUAAACCUCUUUUGUCAGGGAACAAGGGCGGGUACGUGUCCCCGCCUGAGUGUACCCGACGAAAAAGCCUCGGCUAACCCCGUUCCAGCAGCCGCGGUAAUACGGAGGAUGCGGGCGUUAUCCGGCUUUAUUGGGGUUAAAGGGUGCGCAGGCGGUCUGUCAAGUCCGCGGUCAAAGCCCGGGGCUCAACCCCGGCCCGCCGUUGAAACUGGCGGUCGCGAGUGGGAGAGAAGUAUGCGGAAUGCGCGGUGUAGCGGUGAAAUGCAAAGAUAUCGCGCAGAACUCCGAUUGCGAAGGCAGCAUGCCGGCGCCAAACUGACGCUGAGGCACGAAAGCGUGGGUAUCGAACAGGAUUAGAUACCCGUGUAGUC
Molecule: ribosomal RNA, 459 nt
Filed under: uncultured bacterium
Lineage: Bacteria
Description: partial 16S ribosomal RNA
Rfam family: Bacterial small subunit ribosomal RNA
Source: RNAcentral